UGGGGAAUAUUGCACAAUGGGCGCAAGCCUGAUGCAGCCAUGCCGCGUGUGUGAAGAAGGCCUUCGGGUUGUAAAGCACUUUCAGCGGGGAGGAAGGCGUUAAGGUUAAUAACCUUGGCGAUUGACGUUACCCGCAGAAGAAGCACCGGCUAACUCCGUGCCAGCAGCCGCGGUAAUACGGAGGGUGCAAGCGUUAAUCGGAAUUACUGGGCGUAAAGCGCACGCAGGCGGUCUGUCAAGUCGGAUGUGAAAUCCCCGGGCUCAACCUGGGAACUGCAUUCGAAACUGGCAGGCUGGAGUCUUGUAGAGGGGGGUAGAAUUCCAGGUGUAGCGGUGAAAUGCGUAGAGAUCUGGGGGAAUACCGGUGGCGAAGGCGGCCCCCUGGACGAAGACUGACGCUCAGGUGCGAAAGCGUGGGGAGCAAACAG
This 428-nucleotide ribosomal RNA is filed under the name Chloroflexota bacterium. RNAcentral describes it as "Chloroflexi bacterium partial 16S ribosomal RNA". It matches the Rfam family "Bacterial small subunit ribosomal RNA", at positions 355 to 775 of the family's 1533-position model. The record is from RNAcentral. Lineage: Bacteria; Bacillati; Chloroflexota.